Cebus imitator (Panamanian white-faced capuchin) is the source of this 183-nucleotide long non-coding RNA. RefSeq lists it as uncharacterized. The transcript is spliced from 3 exons. The record is from RefSeq and is a predicted model, not a curated record. NCBI's taxonomy places the organism in Eukaryota, Metazoa, Chordata, Mammalia, Primates, Cebidae.
CGUUUGCUCUUCAGAUCUCUGAAAAAUGUCACUGCCAUCUGGAGAAGUUUGAACAGUUUCCUUUCUGUAUCUGUUAUGAAGGCAUUAGUACAACGCACAGUGCUUCCAUUAUUCAUGUUAAAAAAAAACAACAAGGUUUUGGUUGCCUGGGUUCAGUAAUAAAUAUGUGAGACCUUUUACUUC